This 84-nucleotide transfer RNA is filed under the name Dolichos trilobus. RNAcentral's name for it is "tRNA-Tyr". The record is from RNAcentral. Lineage: Eukaryota; Viridiplantae; Streptophyta; Magnoliopsida; Fabales; Fabaceae.
UGAUAAAUGGAUUGAAUUUGUUCCGUCCUUAAACCAAAUUCGUAUUUUUUUAUUGAAAAAUUUUUUUCAAAAACUUGUGGAUCU